Hippocampus zosterae (dwarf seahorse) is the source of this 2120-nucleotide long non-coding RNA. RefSeq lists it as uncharacterized. The transcript is spliced from 3 exons. The record is from RefSeq and is a predicted model, not a curated record. NCBI's taxonomy places the organism in Eukaryota, Metazoa, Chordata, Actinopteri, Syngnathiformes, Syngnathidae.
AAAGCAAAAGAAUAUUUUUGAUUCUAAUGCCUUCAGAAAUCGGAUUAUUUCUGCACCCGCAGGUAAAGCAGCAGUAAAUCAACUUCCCUCAAUUUCUGAGUCAAGACUCCCGCUCUGCCUUUACAAAAAUCCCCUAAGUUUCUGAUAGCCUUUUUAGCUAUCCCUCAUAAGCUUUGAAAAGAAUGUUUACAAGGCUUUCUUUGUAUAAUUGUCUCAUAUAAAGAGUUUAGGGGAAUGUGAUUGUGCCAAUUGGAAGGAACAGAAGAAGGUUUUUCCACUUUGAAGGAAAAUCUCUUGAACAAUCAAACAGCUGUCCAUUAAAAGAAGAUUAGGUACUUAGCCUGUACGUCUACGUAUUUAGAAUACACCGGACAGAAAUAUGUUCCUCAAGACUAUUAAGAAUCUCAAAAGUGGAAUUAACAGACAACACAACCCUGACAUCAUGAAACGACGAGGGUGGAACGCAGAGCACAAAUUCACAAACGGAGUAAAACAUUCCGACCGGCUGCAUUCCUGCUCUGCAUAUUUGUGAUGUGAUUCAAGGCGCAAAAGAAUUGUGAGCAUCAAGAGCAGCUCAUUCAUCACCGGUUUCGCAAUGCUCAGUUUCUAAUUUUGGAAAGGCUUUGCAUGCCCUCACUACACGUUGGCAAGAGCGUGGCUAAACAGAAGACGGAGAAUCAGGUAUGAACUUAAGUACAACAUUCACUCCACGCUAUCUUUUCCCACGAUGCCUGGCGACGGUGCCUUGGUAAGACCAAAUGGUUCGCAUGUCCUGCAUUUGGUGCGGACCACACCGAGUCCGUUUGGAAGCCUUCUCAAAAGGUAGGUCUCAGUUUGGUUGUUUGUUGUCCCUGUACAAUUCAAUUGAUGAAAUAUUUUCGAGAGCCAAGGUAAAAUCCGACAACCGAGAUCAUGUGGUUGCACAAGUGUGCACCCUCUCUUAUAACAGGCGCCGUAGAUGAGUCAGAAUUAACUAAUCACAAUAAAACUAACGUUAAGUGGGAGUCAGCGCACACCCAAAACCUUUCAAAGUACCUCUGAUUAACCCCAAAUAAAGUUCUGUUGUUCUAGUUGGCACAUCUUUGCAUUUUCAUUCCAAGCAAAUGGCUGAAGGUUUUUUGCCAACCACCACAAUCCACCUUGACGAAGGCCCAGAUCCAGCUGAAGAAAAACAUUGCCAAAGAACGAUUUUGCCACAAUCAUGCUUCACUGUAGGUUGGUAGGUGGGUAGGUAGGUGUUUCUUUGGUUAUGACCCCUUAGGAUGGUUUUAUUUUGUAGGAUUAACCUAUACCUACUCCAGAGCCUAGACACAUGAAGAAGACGGGAGGUGUAUUAAGCAAGCUGUACUUGCAAGAAAAUCAUGCAGUUGCUGGCAUUUUGCUGUCAGCCUCCUGUCAGCGUCCCAUGGCCAGUUUUAUUUUCAUUAGUUUUGGAAGUAGGUCUGGUUCUUGGAAAUAUUGUUGCAGUGUAAUAUCUUCUCCUUUGGACAAUAACUGUGUUUAUUGUUAUUUAUUCUGAUUUUUACUUCUAUGACUUUUAUGGAUGAAUUCUACAGGUUGCAGCUCACAUUAAUGGUGGAACAUGUUUUAAAUACUUUAUUUUGGGUUAUUUUUUUCCAACCUGAAAUUCCGACAGAUGUGUGUCGAAUUCUGUAUAUCAGGGAAUAGAGCAAGACUAGCCACAAGAAGAGACAAGGACAUGAGGAAAUUUAGUAGCGCAUAAUGCAAUUUGUUUUGUACAAAGCAAGAGAGCCAAUAGACAAAUAAUUACAUCAUACCGGAUGUUGUUUCCAGAGCACAGUAAUUUGCCUCUAUUUGUUAUGCUCAGAGAUAUAGCAACACAGAACCUCUGAUGGCUUUCUCUUGUAUUAUUGUCUCAUUAGUGCUUUCUUUUUCUGUCCCUUCAGAUUGUCUGUCUGCAUAAGAUGUCAGUACAUCAACAUUAAGAACAUGAGCUGGAAGAAGAAAGCAGUACAAUAAUAUUCAUCAACAAAUUAGAAUCAUCAUCAUCAUCAAAACUAGCUGGCCCAAGUGCCAUAGACAGUGUGAAAUUUACGAUGCAGUAUAUUCACUUACAUAAACAGGCCGAGUAAAUUAAAAUGUACUUUGAUAGACAUGAU